Molecule: ribosomal RNA, 445 nt
Filed under: uncultured bacterium
Lineage: Bacteria
Description: bacterial SSU rRNA
Rfam family: Bacterial small subunit ribosomal RNA
Source: RNAcentral
CGAACGCUGGCGGCAUGCUUAACACAUGCAAGUCGAGGGGCCCUUCGGGGUCACUGGCGCACGGGUGAGUAACACGUAGGUCAUCUGCCCCUAUCACAGACAUAACUCCGGGAAACCGGUGCUAAUAUCUGAUGAGGUCGCGAGAUCAAAGCUUCGGCGGAUAGGGAUGAGCCUGCGGCUGAUUAGCUAGUUGGUGAGGUAAUGGCUCACCAAGGCGACGAUCAGUAGCUGGUCUGAGAGGACGAACAGCCACACUGGAACUGAGACACGGUCCAGACUCCUACGGGAGGCAGCAGUGGGGAAUUUUCCGCAAUGGGCGAAAGCCUGACGGAGCAAUACCGCGUGAGGGAAGACUGCCUAUGGGGUUUGUAAACCCUCUUUUUUCAGGGAGGAAUAAAAUGACGUGUACCUGAAGAAUAAGCAUCGGCUAACUCCGUGCCAGCCG